CGUCAAGUCAUCAUGCCCCUUAUGCCCAGGGCUGCACGCAUGCUACAAUGGCCGGUACGGAGGGCUGCGAUACCGUGAGGUGGAGCGAAUCCCUAAAAGCCGGUCUCAGUUCGGAUCGAAGUCUGCAACUCGACUUCGUGAAGUCGGAAUUGCUAGUAAUCGCGGAUCAGCAUGCCGCGGUGAAUACGUUCCCGGGUCUU
Molecule: ribosomal RNA, 200 nt
Filed under: uncultured organism
Description: partial small subunit ribosomal RNA
Rfam family: Bacterial small subunit ribosomal RNA
Source: RNAcentral